AAUUUCGCUCAAAAGACCUAGCCGCCGUCCCCAACUAGUUCUUUCCCAAAUCGAACCCUAGAGAGCCCUCCUCCCCCACCGUCGCCGCCGCCGACACUCCCUCUGCCCUCGACCGCGCCCUCCACCACCGACCCCUCUGCCCUCGAAUGCGCCUUCCACCAUCGACCCCCUCCGCUGAUCUGUGCGACCUCCACCCAUGUCGAUGACGCCAGUGCGUAGAGGUCAACCUCGCCUCCCUCCACACGCCUUUGGUUUCGCUCCCUUUGGCACCGCCACAAGGACUGGUUGACGGGGCUGGUGCGUCGAGGUCGACACCGGCUUGCUUCCCACCAUGUCUCCCGCCACCCUGACGACGAGCACGGUGUCUGCUCCACACUACCCUAGUACAACAUGGUGCUCAGAUCUGUCAUGGAGGAAACGCGAUGCAGGUGUGAUUUUUCCAUACAAAGAAGCUCUCCUUUUCUGCUUGAUGAAAACUCACAAGAUGCUAUCGCGUUAUCUUCUAUCUUCUCCUUGCUGCACAUUUUCCCUACCUUCCACCGAGUCAGUACUUGGAUCCAAGUCUUUCUUAUUGCUACUUAUUUUUAUUUUGCUACUAAAUUGAUGCAGGUGCUACCAGUGAAAGGAUUGGAGAUUGGUUCUAGUAGUUGUAGGUUCGUUUGGAAUUCAUAAUGCUCAUGAUUUGCAAAGCCUAUCAGCCAGAACACGUUGAUGCAUAGCAUUAAAUGCUUGCCUAAAAGAGUCCACAGCUCCUUGCGCUCAAGAAUUAUAUUGUCUGACCUCCUAAGGGUCGUUGAGGAGUUGGCAUAUAAUAGCAGCGACACAAACACUUAAAAAGAAAGUGCUAGUACAUUGGAUAAGAACAUUGGCACAUGUGACUGGGAGCCCAAAAGACUAUUUCCUGGACGGUGUUCUAUGGAAUCUUCACAUACAUGAAACUAAAAUUUAUAUCAUAGGUUGGAAAUGUUCCUGAAGACGGGUUAAGAUACCUUGUCGUAACCAUAUGCUUUGAGCUCACCUAGAAGACCUUACAAGCUUUACUCUUUGUUCUUGUUCCAUUCUGUACAACUUGGACGCCUUGAAACUGCAAAUACUAAAUUAUGAUGUAGAUCUUCACAUGUAAACAGUGAAUUGCAUAUGUUUGUAACAUUGUAAAUGUUUGAUGAACAGAAUUUAUAAUAUGAAUGUGAAGUACUUGUGCAGAUUCCUUCUGGUUUAUUUCAAUGGAUGCCUCGUCAUUGUGUAUCUAAAUGUAAAAUAAAUGAAGAAAUGCAAUACUAAAGUGUAAUAAUGAUAUAGAUUGGGAAAUAGGAUACCACUGGCAUAUUAUCUGCCGGGAAAACUAUUAACUGCCGGGAGAACAAGUCUGCCGAGAGAAUAGAAACUGCCAAGAGAAAUUGGAACAUGAGGGCAUACAAACUGCCGGGAGAUCUUUAUCUGUCGGGAAUUAUAAUCCCCGACAGUCAUUCUUCUGGCAGUUCUGUCUGCCGGGAGAAAACCAUUCCCGGCAGUUUGCCUGCCGUUCUAAGUCACUUCUCCCGGCAGUUUUUCUAUCCUUGCGUCAGUGUUGUGGUGUAGAGUCGUCAACCUCGCCUCCGUCCACACGCCUCUGGUUUCGCUCCCUUCGGCACCGCCACAAGGACUGGUUGACGGGGCCGGUGCGUCAAGGUGGACGUCUCCUUGCUUCCCACCACGUCUCCCGCCACCCUGACGACGAGCGCAGUGUCUGCUCCCCACUACGCUACUACAACAUGGUGUUCAGAUCUGUCAUGGAGGAAAUGCGAUGCAGGUGCUACCAGCGAAAGGAUUGGAGAUUGGUUCUAGUAGUUGUAGGUUUGUUUGGAAUUCAUAAUGCUCAUGAUUUGCAAAAGCUAUCAGCCAGGUUAUUGUACCCUUACUCUUGUAUUUCAUUUUCUUAUCUUAAUAUGCAUGUAUAUGUGCCUAUGAUUUGUAAAAUGUAAUGUUCUUCUAUCCAGCCAAUUUUAGUGACAUGGACGGGUCUUUGUUUAUUCAGGUUCAGCCAUUGCACAACUGAAGGCAAGUGUUUCACAGCUUGAGAAAGUUUACUCACUAAUGGCUGACUGUAUACAACUCUAGAAAGUUUCUUGUGCUAGCAUCUACAAGAACUAAAUUAUUGACAUGAGUUGAUAUUGAAAAUUGCUCUACAAAAUUAACUACUUUUCCUUCCCUGAUUUAUCAUCUACCAAAUUGUUUCAUUGCAGUUCAGUGGUGCCCUAUCUGAAUACUCAACCUGCAUGAAACAUUGCACUGGGCAGAAAAUAAUUUUAGAAAGGAAUGCCGUAAGUUGCUGGCAUUGCCAUCAGGCUAUCACACACUGCACUAAAUUGGGCUUGUUGGACCAUGCAGGGUCUGCACCAGAUAAUAGAAGCCCUGCAAGGGCCAACACGGCUAUGGUUUGCUUGUGAGGAGGGGUCGAUUUUCUGAGUUGCAGCCUAAAUAAUUUGUAUCUUAUGAUCCAGAAAAGGAAAGAAAAACAAUCUGUUUCUUACCGUGUUGGUUGGUUGGCUACACGCACAUUUCCUAUGAACCAUGCCUUAAUAGUCGAGCCGCCACUAUAAUCGCACAUCGUGAUCAGUCCUCCCUCGAUGAAGUAGCAUACCGACAAGUUAGUUAAUUUUCUGAAGUUCCUAGAAUAAUUUUUUGACGCUGCCUGCUUCGAUGCACUUUAUUCUUAACCAUUGGCUGAUCUAAGCUCUUUUUUUACCAGAACACGUCGAUGCAUAGCAUUAAACGCUUGCCCAAAAGAGUCCACAGCUCCCUGCGCUCAAGCAUUAUAUUGUCUGACCUCCUGAGGGUCGUUGAGGAGUUGGCAUAUAAUAGCUGCGACACAAAUGCUUAAAAGAAAGUGCUAGUACAUUGGAUAAGAACAUUGGCACAUGUGACUGGGAGCCCAAAAGACUAGUUGGAAAUGUUCCUAAAGACGGGUUAAGAUACCUUGCCGUAACCAUAUGUUCUGAGCUCACCUAGAAGACCUUACAAGCUUUGCUCUUUGCUCUUGUUCCAUUUUGUACAACUUGGACGCCUUGAAACUGCAGAUACUAAAUUAUGAUGUAGUUCUUCACACGUAAUCAGUAAAUUGCAUAUAUUUUUAACCUUGUAAAUGUUUGAUGAAUAGAAUUUAUAAUAUGAAUGUGAAGUACUU
Molecule: long non-coding RNA, 3163 nt
Organism: Triticum aestivum (bread wheat)
Lineage: Eukaryota; Viridiplantae; Streptophyta; Magnoliopsida; Poales; Poaceae
Exons: 8
Source: RefSeq, a predicted model, not a curated record